CGUGUAGGCGGUCAGGUAGGUCGGUUGUGAAAACUGGAGGCUCAACCUUCAGAGGUCGACCGAAACCCCCUGGCUAGAGUCCGGGAGAGGAGAGUGGAAUUCCUGGUGUAGCGGUGAAAUGCGCAGAUAUCAGGAAGAACACCCGCGGCGAAAGCGGCUCUCUGGAACGGUACUGACGCUGAGACGCGAAAGCGUGGGGAGCGAACAG
This 208-nucleotide ribosomal RNA is filed under the name uncultured bacterium. Its description in RNAcentral is "partial 16S ribosomal RNA". It matches the Rfam family "Bacterial small subunit ribosomal RNA", at positions 568 to 775 of the family's 1533-position model. The record is from RNAcentral.